CAGCCUCGGAGGCGGCGGCAGCAACCCCGGGCGCAGGAAACAUCUCCGCCGGCUCCGGUUGGCUCUCCUGGGCUCUCUUCAUGGCUGGGCUGAAGGUAAUGAGAGGCCCUGAGAUCCCAGAGGGACCAUAUGAGAAUUCUGGACAGUGCUGAAGACUCUUCCUGCAGACACAAGGGGAGACAGGACCAGAGGGUACGCCACCAAGGAAGGCCACCCAGCUGUGUACGUCAGACCCAUUGCUCAAGGACGAGGAUGACCCGGCAGAUCGGGCAGGGGGCCAGGAGGAACUCCCGAGUGCCUUCUCAUCUUAGCCUGGGUGACAGUGUGGCGUGCCCCCUGACCUCUCCUCCUUCCUCCGCUGGACUAAGCGAUGACAUGAAGGGACGUGGCAAUAAGGAAAUUAUCCUCGCCUGAACAUAAACACGAACAAUCCAUUUCCCACAACUCCCCAAGGAGCACAGCUGUGAGACAAGUCAACUGAGAAAGUUCCAGGGCUUCAUUCAGCCCAAGUUCUGGGCACUUGUGCCUUGAGCCCUCCACCAGAGGUGUUGUUGACACGCAGAGAGGUCCAGAAGAAAGGCAUGCUAAGAAAACCUGACCCCUGGUGGAAAUGCAGUCCAGGGAAUGGAAUUGGUCCAUCUUGAAUUUUCGACUGGAAUUUCCAAAAAGAAGACUGAUUUUGUCACCAAACUGAGCUUGGAUCCACUUGCAUGCUGCACAGCAAAGCCAAUCUACUGACAUGAAGGAAAGUACAGUGUUUAUUGCAAGCAUCAAGAAAAGAGAGCAAGCAUCUAGUGCUCAAAAGACGCAAACUCCUGGAUGGUCUGAGGAUCAGAGCCUUGAGAAUGGGCUCUCCUGUAUAUUUCAGGUAAUAGGCAACACUCUUUUACAAAAGGUGCAGAACCAGCAUGACUAAGGAUGGGAACAGAGCACAGGGUUACAGCUAAAGGAACAGACCUAAUAUGGAGUCAGAUUUGUUCUUCCUUAUUACAGUAACAGGGUGAUGUUUUAAGAAUUUUAAUCAUCAGCCUCUGGUUCCAACCAGUCUAGGGUCUACCUUGUGCUCAGCAUGCUCAUCCACCUGGAUGGGGGUGUGGGGGAGUUCUAGCUUCUGCAGAACAACUCAGAUAUGUGUCAGAUUGCUGUGUAUGUCCCUCAAGGAGGAACUAGGACUCUGUUUUAUCACUGAACUAUUAUUUCUUGAUUGCUUUUCCUUUGUGUCUGCAUUCCCUCACUUCCCUAAUUAGUAACUGCUUCAGUCUGCUCUGUGGAACUCAGGAAAGACCCAGGAGAUGAAAGUCUUUUUCUACAAACAAGAAAUGGAGGACAAGGAGGAGCCUGCAGGGACCCCGGCUUGGUUUCAGUGUCAAAGGGAAAUAGAUGUUCCAGGAGUAGGUCACAGAGAAAGGCUUCUCUGCCUUGGAAAGGACAAGGCAUGCUGGGCUGCGUCUCGUUUCUCUUCCCUCUAAGUCUCUCUGGUGCCACCUCUCCCUCCACCCUCAGGUUAUUUGCAUAUGUGUGUUUCCCUGCCCUUCUAGACUGUCAGAUCCCAGAGGCAGAACGCCUCGUGCUGAUUCCCCGCUGUAUUCUCCGUGGCACUACUCUAGUGCCUGGUGCCAAGUUGGUUCUUGGUCAUUGACUGCCUGUCCCUGUAUCUGAAAAUGCACCAGAGAAACAUUUCAAAAAUAGUUGGCUCUCUCUGAUGGGAGUUUUGCUGGCUAGGAAGGUGAUGUAGGGUAACUUCUCAGCAGGGUUUGAAUUUUGAGACCUCGGGAAAAUAGCAGCAGGAUUGGAAGAGAGGCACAUUUCGCUCAGACACACUCUGUUAUCUUUGUUUUACAUUUAAAUGAAACACUUGGGUCUACAUAACAUUUGGAUGACACAUGAAGGGCCAUUUCCUCAGUGUGAUUCGGGUUGUUGAUGGGAGAGCUGAGGCCUCCUGGAGAAAGCUGUUUGUGCUACUGAUUGGGGAAGGGCUGGCUUCCAGAGCGCAGUGAGCUCAUUUUCCCGCGGAGAACUGAUGAACAGUGCCUUUCAGGCAUAGCCAAAGUGAGCUCUCUCUUCAUAAAGUCUGAUCCCCUGAGCUGAAGCUCGUGAGCUCUCAUCUCAACUACACAGGGAGCAAAGAGAUGUCCUCUGCCCUGUGUAGUGAAGAAUUAACCUCCGUCAAAAGAGGUCUGGCCUUGUCCUCAGCUGCUGGGAGGUGAUCUCUGAGGUCUUUCUUCUCUUGGGGGCAGUGGAUCGUCUAACUGUGUGAGUUAGGGUGGGGGCGGGCCAUGCCAGAAAGAUCAGCCACCUGACUCAGGACCCACACUUGGUGGGGCACGUCCCAGGGACUCAACUGAGACCUGGGACACGGCCCUCCUCUCGCCCCACAUUCUUUUUUCCUGUAUCAAAACCAGACCCCAGGCUCUGGGAAUAGGAAAGUAGUUUGUGCUCAGAAAGGGAUCUAUACUGACAUUGAGAGGAUCUAGGAUGCUGGGGGAAGGGGCCAGGGGACAGCAUUCUCCAUAUCCCCCUACAAGCCUGACAAAAAUCUAUCAAUGGUAAGUUUACCAGUUAGCUAGAAAUAUUAAGGGAAUAAAUUUUGAUGGAUUUUAAGGGGCACCUGUACAAAAAAAGAAAAUAGUGAACUAAACAGCACCAGACCAGGUUCUAGCUCAGGUUAACCUCUAAUAACCUCUAUGCAUCUGUGUAACUCAGUCUCCUGUGCUUCAGUUUUCCCAUCUGUGAAGUGGGAGUGAUAGUCUCUGGUCUGAUCACUUCCAAAGGUAUUAGGAACAAAUGAAAUAAUGUGUGUGAAAAAGUUUAGAAACCUGUGACAUAAUAUUUAUAGAAACGGACAAUAUUAAUAUUGUUGUCCCACGUGUAGCCAUUUUAUAGAUGAGAGACUCAGAGGGCAGAAGUGACAAAUAUUGCAAGUUUAUAGAACUGGGAAUCCACGUCCCCUAAUUUGCAUGCUGAUGAUUUUUUAAUGAAACUUCUCCGUACAAGAGCAUUCCCUUGUCCAGAGGGCAUGCUUUUGAUGACCUCAACUGUUUAGACUAAGCACGGAGGUGCCUCCAAACAGAGAACAGCCGGCAGGGACACCACUUUCCAAUGGAACCCUCCAACCGCACGGAGUGGAAAUUAGCCUAAAAUUAAGCCUACCCUUUUAACGGUUUAUUAUUUAUCAGAGUAGAAGCUCCAGAAUAAGUGAGGUAGAGUAGCUGGAGGAUAAUAAACAGAUGUGAUGCCGAGAAGAUGACAGCAGGGACAGCAACUUCAAUUAGAAGUCAAGCAGCCCAGUGCAAUUUAAAAGCAUUGCUAUGGUCUCUGUCAUGAUGUGCUGGAGUCAUUAAAAGAGGUUUGAAUGAUAUUCAGUUUGCCCUGAAAGAAGCCAAAAGAAGGAAAUAAAAGAUGUGCUUAAUGAAGAGACAGAGACAUAGCUAUCAUUUUGUUUGAUGAUUUAUUUGCCUAUAGAGAAAACUUCAGGGCAUCAACUAAAAACCUGUUAAAAUAACACCUUAAUUCAUCUCAGUUUCCUCAUGGUUGUGAAGAUUAGCACUUGCACGUGGCCUGGAACAUGACAGAUCAUUGACAAGUGGCAGAGAGUACAUACAAGCUUCAAAUUAAAAAGUCUAGUGUUCUCGCUUACAUCAGAACUUAACAAUUAGAAACCAUAAAGGGGAAGAAAAGGAUACCUUCGUAAUAGCAAUAACAAGCCCCAAAUCAAAAAUCCCAAGAAAGAUACAGAAAUAUGUAGCACUUAUAUGAGGAAAAUGAUAAAACUGCAGAGGGAGAAAACAGAUUUGAAGAAAUUGAAAAGUAUACUAGAUACUGAAAGGUGAAGUAAGUCAUCGUAGAGAAGUUACUUUUUCCAAAUUAACUUAUAUACUGAGAGUAAUUCCAGGCAAAAUCUCUACAAUUUUUGGAACUUGGCAAAAUAUCUUAAAAUUUCAUCUGGAAUCAUAACAAAGUAUACUGAAGAAUAUCUGUGAAAAAGAAAGGAAGGUAGGGAUGGUCCUAACAUACAGAUUAUAUUAUAGAGUACAGAGGAGGAGAAACUUUUGUCUACCCUCUUAGGUUCUGUGCCUAGGCCUGAGAAUUAAAUUGACAUAGACAGCAAAAAAAAAAUACAAAUCUUAUUUACUAUUUUUACACACACAUGGGAGUCUCAUAAAGAAAAAGAAGCAGUUAGGACUGAGAACAUAUAUACUUUUAAACAGAGAAACAAGAAAUGUGUGGAUAAAUGACAAGACAAACGGAUUUGGGCUAGGGGUAAUAAACUGUGGGAAAGUGAUCAGGAAAUAUAUGGGGAAAAUUAAUGGAAGAUCAGGGUUAUUUUAGGAGGUUUGUACAGAUCCAUUUUGGUAUUGACUUCCAGUCUUCCGAAGUAAGAAGGGUGUUUUCUUCCUGGUAGAGUAAGGGCACCUUUCUCUUGGGAAUUUAUAACCUGCUUUAGGUAGAAAGGGGGAGAGCAUGGAGCCCCGCCUACAUCUGGGUUUCUCGAAUGACUUCAGCUCAAAAUAGUCAAUGCACCAAAAUGGCAUAUUUGGGAAUGACAUAUUCUGAGCCCCUUCGUCGGCUAUAAUGAUUAAAUCAAUACAGGAUGAGUGUGAACCUAUUCAGACUGAAGGAACAGACAGCUCAGAAACAAAUCACAGAAUUUAUUUCAUGAAAAAUGAGGCAUCACACAUCAACGGGGAAGAAACUUUACUUAAUAAAUGGUAUGGGAGAAAUCGUCAAUUAGUUGGGGAAAAAUCUAUUUUGAUUCUUGCUUUAUAUUCUAUACUAAAAUAAAUUCAAUGCAAAUUAAUGGAACUUAAAUUAUGGGCAAUCUUGCUUCUUCAUUCAGUGGGAAAACUGUAGGCAUUUCAGAUACACACCGCCCCCUCUACUCGCUAGCCAGCCUUUCUGACCCUGUACUCUGCCUUUCCUCGUAUUAUUUUAUAUU
Vicugna pacos (alpaca) is the source of this 4936-nucleotide non-coding RNA. The record is from RefSeq and is a predicted model, not a curated record. Lineage: Eukaryota; Metazoa; Chordata; Mammalia; Artiodactyla; Camelidae.